CUGCAGUCAAUUAAGCCGACCAUGCUCUUUUCCCCAUGGGGCCUAGUGUGCAAUGGCUGCAAACAGCAGCAUCCUUUCAAAACCAUGUACUGAAGAGAUUA
Molecule: small nucleolar RNA, 101 nt
Organism: Myotis lucifugus (little brown bat)
Lineage: Eukaryota; Metazoa; Chordata; Mammalia; Chiroptera; Vespertilionidae
Gene: SNORA70
Rfam family: Small nucleolar RNA SNORA70
About the family: snoRNA U70 seems to be exclusive to mammals and is a member of the H/ACA class of snoRNA which contain H (ANANNA) and ACA box motifs. H/ACA box snoRNAs are involved in the conversion of uridines to pseudouridines (5-ribosyluracil) a constituent of structural RNAs (transfer, ribosomal, small nuclear, and small nucleolar).
Source: Ensembl